This 501-nucleotide ribosomal RNA is filed under the name uncultured bacterium. RNAcentral's name for it is "partial 16S ribosomal RNA". It matches the Rfam family "Bacterial small subunit ribosomal RNA", at positions 29 to 523 of the family's 1533-position model. The record is from RNAcentral.
AUUGAACGCUGGCGGCAUGCCUUACACAUGCAAGUCGAACGGCAGCACGGGUGCUUGCACCUGGUGGCGAGUGGCGAACGGGUGAGUAAUACAUCGGAACGUACCUUAUCGUGGGGGAUAACGCAGCGAAAGCUGUGCUAAUACCGCAUACGCCCUGAGGGGGAAAGCGGGGGAUCGAAAGACCUCGCGCGAUUAGAGCGGCCGAUGCCUGAUUAGCUUGUUGGUGGGGUAAAAGCCCACCAAGGCGACGAUCAGUAGCUGGUCUGAGAGGACGAUCAGCCACAGUGGGACUGAGACACGGCCCAGACUCCUACGGGAGGCAGCAGUGGGGAAUUUUGGACAAUGGGGGCAACCCCGAUCCAGCAAUGCCGCGUGAGUGAAGAAGGCCUUCGGGUUGUAAAGCUCUUUUGUCAGGGAAGAAACACCGGCUCUAACACAGUCCGGGAAUGACGGUACCUGAAGAAUAAGCACCGCCUAACUACGUGCCAGCCGCCGCGGUAA